Molecule: long non-coding RNA, 461 nt
Organism: Brassica rapa (field mustard)
Lineage: Eukaryota; Viridiplantae; Streptophyta; Magnoliopsida; Brassicales; Brassicaceae
Source: RefSeq, a predicted model, not a curated record
UUGAAUUUGAACGACGAAGAAGUUGUCUUAUUCCCAAACUGGGAAACUAGAAUCACCUGAUUUGAAAGUGGGAUAACUUCUUCAUCCCAACUCCUAUGAGAUUUAUUCAACUUCCUGGUGAUUCUCCACCACUUUAUGUAUCCAUAUCAAGCUUCUUACAAAGUGAUUCAUCCUAGUUCGAUUGGAACGACGAAGAAGUUGUCUUAUCCCCAAACUGGGUAACUGGAAUCAACUUAUUUGAAAGUGGAUAACUCUUCUUCCCAACUCCUAUGGUUUAUUCAACUUCCUGGUCAUUCUCCACCACUUUAUGUAUCCAUAUCAGGCUUCUUACAAAGUGGUUCAUCCUAGUUCGAUUGGAAAAAUGAAGAAGUUGUCUUAUUCCCAAACUGGCAAACUAGAAUCACCUGAUUUGUAAAAAGGGAUAACUUCUUCUUCCCAAUUCCUAUGAGAUUUAUUCAACU